CCUAAGUGCCCCUGUAGCCUAUUUGCUGAAGAGAUGAUUUUUGUUUGUUACAAUAGAUUUUCCUAUUAUAUCCUGCUGACUUCAGUUUACGCUUGGCUGUUUGAAAACCCUUUAAAAGAAAUAAUUCAAUAAUAACCUGUAUACUCUCUCCGUCGUGAGCGAUGAGCGUGGGCUCCACCUUGUGGAAGUGUUCUCCCUCGCGCCAGUCCUGCCGCGUGAGCGCUGACCUGCCUUCCUCGGCCCCCGUGCCGGCGCCGGCGCAAAUCACUGCAAAAGGAUCAUCGAGGUCCAAGUCGUGUGGCGAGCGGUAGACGGUGAACGCGAUAUCGUGUCGCAGCACGUCGAAGUCCCAGGUCAGCACGCUCUGCGGGUCCUUGUUGUUCACGAUCACCUCGUGAACCUGAAAUAAAGA
This is a long non-coding RNA of Leguminivora glycinivorella, 412 nucleotides long. RefSeq lists it as uncharacterized. The transcript has 3 exons. Lineage: Eukaryota; Metazoa; Arthropoda; Insecta; Lepidoptera; Tortricidae. The record is from RefSeq and is a predicted model, not a curated record.